Molecule: ribosomal RNA, 253 nt
Filed under: uncultured bacterium
Lineage: Bacteria
Description: partial 16S ribosomal RNA
Rfam family: Bacterial small subunit ribosomal RNA
Source: RNAcentral
UACGUAGGGUGCGAGCGUUAAUCGGAAUUACUGGGCGUAAAGCGUGCGUAGACGGUUACGUAAGUCGGGUGUGAAAGCCCCGGGCUCAACCCGGGAAUUGCAUUCGAGACUGCGUAGCUAGGGUGCGGAAGAGGGAAGCGGAAUUUCCGGUGUAGCGGUGAAAUGCGUAGAUAUCGGAAGGAACAUCAGUGGCGAAAGCGGCUUCCUGGUCCAGCACCGACGUUCAGGCACGAAAGCGUGGGGAGCAAACAGG